This 253-nucleotide long non-coding RNA is filed under the name Medicago truncatula (barrel medic). RNAcentral's name for it is "lncRNA gene7589". Lineage: Eukaryota; Viridiplantae; Streptophyta; Magnoliopsida; Fabales; Fabaceae. The record is from RNAcentral.
GCGGGUUGGAACUUGCAGCAUUACCCAUAUUCUUCCCACUUAGUGUGCCUGCACAGUUUGUGUUAGACUCUAACACAAAAGGUAUAGUUUUGGGAGGACUCAAUGGUUAAUCACUUGAGGUGUUGAGAUUUGAAAUUCACUUGAUUAAUCAACUUUGAUAACAUAUUAGUUUGAGUUUUUUUUUUUUUUGGAAGAAAUAACAUAUUAGUUUGAGAUCAAACCUUUACCAUAUAUUUAAGAGAUUCAGUUUUCU